Molecule: ribosomal RNA, 595 nt
Filed under: uncultured bacterium
Lineage: Bacteria
Description: bacterial SSU rRNA
Rfam family: Bacterial small subunit ribosomal RNA (bases 1-516)
Source: RNAcentral
CCUACGGGAGGCAGCAGUGGGGAAUAUUGGACAAUGGGCGAAAGCCUGAUCCAGCAAUGCCGCGUGAGUGAUGAAGGCCUUAGGGUUGUAAAGCUCUUUUACCAGGGAUGAUAAUGACAGUACCUGGAGAAUAAGCUCCGGCUAACUCCGUGCCAGCAGCCGCGGUAAUACGGAGGAAGCUAGCGUUGUUCGGAAUUACUGGGCGUAAAGCGUACGUAGGCGGUUAUUCAAGUCAGAGGUGAAAGCCUGGAGCUCAACUCCAGAACUGCCUUUGAAACUAGGUAGCUAGAAUCACGGAGAGGUUAGUGGAAUUCCGAGUGUAGAGGUGAAAUUCGUAGAUAUUCGGAAGAACACCAGUGGCGAAGGCGACUAACUGGACGUGUAUUGACGCUGAGGUACGAAAGCGUGGGGAGCAAACAGGAUUAGAUACCCUGGUAGUCCACGCCGUAAACGAUGAUAACUAGCUGUUCGGUCUCUACGAGACAGAGUGCGCAGCUACGACAUAAGUUAUCGUCCGUGGGUAGGUACGGUCGCGAGAAUAAACUAACAAAGAAGUAGACGCGNGAGAGNGCGACGACGACGACGAGGAGGUAGG